UACGGGGGGGGCAAGCGUUGUUCGGAAUUACUGGGCGUAAAGCGCACGUAGGCGGCUUCUUAAGUCAGGGGUGAAAUCCUGGAGCUCAACUCCAGAACUGCCUCUGAUACUGAGGAGCUCGAGUCCGGGAGAGGUGAGUGGAACUCCGAGUGUAGAGGUGAAAUUCGUAGAUAUUCGGAAGAACACCAGUGGCGAAGGCGGCUCACUGGCCCGGUACUGACGCUGAGGCACGAAAGCGUGGGGAGCAAACAGG
RNAcentral lists this ribosomal RNA (253 nucleotides) under uncultured bacterium. RNAcentral describes it as "partial 16S ribosomal RNA". It matches the Rfam family "Bacterial small subunit ribosomal RNA", at positions 524 to 776 of the family's 1533-position model. The record is from RNAcentral.